RNAcentral lists this ribosomal RNA (276 nucleotides) under Nematoda environmental sample. RNAcentral describes it as "partial 18S ribosomal RNA". It matches the Rfam family "Eukaryotic small subunit ribosomal RNA", at positions 1300 to 1599 of the family's 1831-position model. Lineage: Eukaryota; Metazoa; Nematoda. The record is from RNAcentral.
CGUGGAUCGAUUUGUUCUGGUUUAUUCCGAUAACGAGCGAGACUCUAGCCUACUAAAUAGUGACAGUCUUACUGUUGGUCUGAUUGCUUCUUAGAGGGAUUUUCGGUGUUUAGCCGCACGAGAUUGAGCAAUAACAGGUCUGUGAUGCCCUUAGAUGUCCGGGGCUGCACGCGCGCUACACUGGCGAAAUCAGCGUGCUGUAUCCAUUCUCGAAAGGGAUUGGUAAACCCAUGAAAAUUUGCCGUGAUAGGGAUUGGAAAUUGCAAUUAUUUUCCG